Molecule: long non-coding RNA, 260 nt
Organism: Chiroxiphia lanceolata (lance-tailed manakin)
Lineage: Eukaryota; Metazoa; Chordata; Aves; Passeriformes; Pipridae
Exons: 3
Source: RefSeq, a predicted model, not a curated record
CUGGAGAACCCAGGGUGCUUUAUUCAGCUAGAAGUUGUGUGAAGAUCUAAAAUGAGGAGGAUGCCAGUAAAACCUUUAAUUGCCCCUGAAAGUCCAACCUCAUAACCACUGGGUCACCUUGCACCGAGAGCUCGUUGUAUUCCACGGGUCCUGUUCACAGGAAAUAUUUACAAAGUACUGAGUAUUUAAAUGUGGAAUAUCUGGAGUUGGAAGGGACUCAUGAAGACUCCGGUCACACACAGGACACUUCCAGUGACAGC